AUUGAACGCUGGCGGCAUGCCUUACACAUGCAAGUCGAACGGCAGCGGACCUUCGGGUGCCGGCGAGUGGCGAACGGGUGAGUAAUAUAUCGGAACGUACCUUUCAGUGGGGGAUAACGUAGCGAAAGUUACGCUAAUACCCGCAUAUUCUGUGAGCAGGAAAGCAGGGGAUCGCAAGACCUUGCGCUGAUUGAGCGGCCGAUAUCAGAUUAGCUAGUUGGUGAGGUAAAGGCUCACCAAGGCGACGAUCUGUAGCGGGUCUGAGAGGAUGAUCCGCCACACUGGAACUGAGACACGGUCCAGACUCCUACGGGAGGCAGCAGUGGGGAAUUUUGGACAAUGGGCGCAAGCCUGAUCCAGCCAUGCCGCGUGAGUGAAGAAGGCCUCGGUUGUAAGACUCUUUC
RNAcentral lists this ribosomal RNA (404 nucleotides) under uncultured bacterium. RNAcentral's name for it is "bacterial SSU rRNA". It matches the Rfam family "Bacterial small subunit ribosomal RNA", at positions 30 to 437 of the family's 1533-position model. The record is from RNAcentral.